This 234-nucleotide long non-coding RNA is filed under the name Elaeis guineensis (African oil palm). RNAcentral describes it as "long non-coding RNA (EGUI_LNC022332)". The record is from RNAcentral. Lineage: Eukaryota; Viridiplantae; Streptophyta; Magnoliopsida; Arecales; Arecaceae.
UGGCUGCUAAAGCUAUUCUCUUAGUAUUUGAAGGCGUUUUGGUAUUAAGAAUAAAUUUUCACAAGAGUUCCAUCUUAUGCAUGAAUAUGGAGGAAGGAGAACCUUCUAUGUUUGCCUCUUGGAUAAACUGUAAAAAGGAUUCCCUCCCUUCACUUGGAUCUUCCUCUAAUAAGAUUCUUAAGUAACAUUAGCUGCCUCAGAGAAGAUCAACUCGAGAAUAGCUUCAUGGAAAGG